AUAGUUACCUGGAAGGGGAGAUAGCAUGAUCACAAGGGUGGUUUUCCCAGGGUGAGGCUUAUCCAUUGCACUCCAGAUGUGCUGACCCCUACGAUUUCCCCAAAUGUGGGAGACUUGACCACGUGACUUGCGGUAGUGGGGGGCUGUGUUCGCGCUCUCCCCUG
Erinaceus europaeus (western European hedgehog) is the source of this 164-nucleotide small nuclear RNA. Its record names the gene U1. It matches the Rfam family "U1 spliceosomal RNA". Rfam says of the family: U1 is a small nuclear RNA (snRNA) component of the spliceosome (involved in pre-mRNA splicing). Its 5' end forms complementary base pairs with the 5' splice junction, thus defining the 5' donor site of an intron. The record is from Ensembl. Lineage: Eukaryota; Metazoa; Chordata; Mammalia; Eulipotyphla; Erinaceidae.